Molecule: long non-coding RNA, 649 nt
Filed under: Homo sapiens (human)
Lineage: Eukaryota; Metazoa; Chordata; Mammalia; Primates; Hominidae
Description: non-protein coding lnc-KCNJ4-1:2
Source: RNAcentral
CACGCGAUGAAAACCCGUUGAGCACCUUCUGUGAGUAAGGAAGGCCUGUUUUAGCAGAAACCGUUCAGCACUGAACCAAACCGACAAAGAUGUAGCUGGGACCCCACCCUUCAGCCCUGUGCUGAGAGUCCUGAAGCCGGCCUCUGGCCUGGGCCCUGCCACCGACGCCAGAUGGGGACCCCGAUGUCUGCCCUGUGGGCUGGAGCAGGCGGCGACUCUGUCCUGGCUGUGAGAUCUCCUCCACCGCCCCUGACUCCUACCCUGUCAGGCCCACCCCCAGUCUCUUAUCACCGCUGGAGGGGAAUCUGAGCAAUCCCCUACGGGGUGACAACCUGCAACUACAUGGCAUCGUGCACGUGGAUCCACUGCAGCAUGGAGCGGGGUCUGCAUCAGGAAAGACACUCCUCCUCUUCCCCCGGCCGCAGGUGGGCCUCACUGAGAGACCUGGAGAAUGGGUUUGCUGGGGAAGGCAGGCUUCGAAAGCCCCGGGUCAUUGCAGCUGCCUCCCAGCCCAGCUCUCUGCCAGCCUCCCCGUGGGACAUGUUAUAAACAUCAGAGUUGGAUGGGCCUUGGCCAGGCACGGUGGCUCACUCACGCCUGUAAUCCCAGCACUUUGGGCCACCGAGGCGGGUGAAUCACCUUAGGUCAG